This 202-nucleotide long non-coding RNA is filed under the name Elaeis guineensis (African oil palm). Its description in RNAcentral is "long non-coding RNA (EGUI_LNC027956)". Lineage: Eukaryota; Viridiplantae; Streptophyta; Magnoliopsida; Arecales; Arecaceae. The record is from RNAcentral.
UCCUUUCUCUCCACGCCUUCUUUCAUUGCAUAAAUUAUUUUGUGCACUGAAUAAUCUACACCAAAGCCUCCUAUUGUCACCCAUUAGUGAUAUGAUUAGGUUUGUUUUUAGUUGAAUUCAAAAGGAUUGAAUUUAAACCUAAAAUUUUAUCCUUAUCCUCCCACAUGCUGGCACCUUGUGAAGGACCCUAAUUUGUGCGACA